CCUACGGUGAGCAGCAGUGAGGAAUAUUGGUCAAUGGGCGGGAGCCUGAACCAGCCAAGUCGCGUGAGGGACGACGGUCCUAUGGAUUGUAAACCUCUUUUGUCGGGGAACAAAGGCGCCCACGGGUGGGCGGAUGAGUGUACCCGAAGAAAAAGCAUCGGCUAACUCCGUGCCAGCAGCCGCGGUAAUACGGAGGAUGCGAGCGUUAUCCGGAUUUAUUGGGUUUAAAGGGUGCGUAGGCGGACAGUCAAGUCAGCGGUAAAAUUUCGGGGCUCAACCCCGACAAGCCGUUGAAACUGGCUUGCUAGAGUGGGCGAGAAGUAUGCGGAAUGCGUGGUGUAGCGGUGAAAUGCAUAGAUAUCACGCAGAACUCCGAUUGCGAAGGCAGCAUACCGGCGCCCAACUGACGCUCAGGCACGAAAGCGUGGGUAUCGAACAGGAUUAGAUACCCGAGUAGUC
This 459-nucleotide ribosomal RNA is filed under the name uncultured bacterium. RNAcentral's name for it is "partial 16S ribosomal RNA". It matches the Rfam family "Bacterial small subunit ribosomal RNA", at positions 338 to 795 of the family's 1533-position model. The record is from RNAcentral.